Non-coding RNA from Stegodyphus mimosarum, 73 nucleotides. NCBI's taxonomy places the organism in Eukaryota, Metazoa, Arthropoda, Arachnida, Araneae, Eresidae. The record is from Rfam.
GCCUUCGUGGUUUAGUGGUCUGCAUACUCGACGCGUAACCGAGAGGUCCGUGGUUCGAUUCCCGGCGAAGGCG